AGAGUGAACGCUGGCGGUAGGCCUAACACAUGCAAGUCGAACGGCAGCACAGUAGGAGCUUGCUCUUACGGGUGGCGAGUGGCGGACGGGUGAGGAAUACAUCGGAAUCUACCUUUUGGUGGGGGAUAACGUAGGGAAACUUACGCUAAUACCGCAUACGCCCUUCGGGGGAAAGCCGGGGACCAGCAAUGGCCUGGCGCUGAUAGAUGAGCCGAUGUCGGAUUAGCUAGUUGGUGAGGUAAUGGCUCACCAAGGCGACGAUCCGUAGCUGGUCUGAGAGGAUGAUCAGCCACACUGGAACUGACGACACGGUCCAGACCUCCGUACGGGAGCAGCAGGUGGGGAAU
This 347-nucleotide ribosomal RNA is filed under the name uncultured soil bacterium. RNAcentral's name for it is "bacterial SSU rRNA". It matches the Rfam family "Bacterial small subunit ribosomal RNA", at positions 26 to 362 of the family's 1533-position model. The record is from RNAcentral.